GCCAGGGAGCAAACAAAGCAAAAAAGAGUGAGCCGGCAGCGCCAGGUGCGCGGCCGGCCAAC
Molecule: regulatory RNA element, 62 nt
Organism: Pantoea ananatis LMG 20103
Lineage: Bacteria; Pseudomonadati; Pseudomonadota; Gammaproteobacteria; Enterobacterales; Erwiniaceae
Rfam family: DnaX ribosomal frameshifting element
About the family: This family represents a ribosomal frameshifting element found in the mRNA of the dnaX gene in E. coli. The dnaX gene has two encoded products tau and gamma which are produced in a 1:1 ratio.
Source: Rfam